This 1033-nucleotide unclassified non-coding RNA is filed under the name Hevea brasiliensis (rubber tree). Lineage: Eukaryota; Viridiplantae; Streptophyta; Magnoliopsida; Malpighiales; Euphorbiaceae. The record is from RNAcentral.
GUUUUUCCGUAAUAAAGAUCUGAGUACUAUAAGAUGGAGAGAACUACUAUAUGAUUUGGAUCAACCAAAUAAGAAUAACCGAUUUUAGUUAACAACAUAAUUAACCAGCUGGUUUUGAAAUGGCAUAUUAUUAAGUGGAAACAAUCAAAAGGAAGACCUUUGCCUUCACUAAAUUUUGAUCUUAUGAUAUAUCUAAAUAAAGCUCUAGUAGUAGUAGUAUAAAUACAAGUAAAGAACUUUGACUACCAAGAAGAAUGAGUUCAACCACAACUUUGUUGCAUCUACCUUCCAUCUUAAUUCUCAACACAACCAUUUCCCUCAUCAUCAUUUCUGUUUCUUUGUAGUUAUCGUCUUCGCCGGACUUUUAGAUCCUUUUUCUUUCUCUGCUUCUCUUGGUUCUGGUUUCUUGUUGGAAGGUGAUUCAUAAGUGGAAGUGGAGCGGAGGGACAUCUUGGCAAUCUCCGACACAGCAGUGUCUCGGGUAGCUGGUGAAUCACUCGUCAAAUCUAGGUAUGCUGCUUGGAAAGCGUCUUGCCAGAACUUAGGCAACCUGAUCCUGCUAUUCUGUGUGUACACAUCCCACAUAUGUUUUACCAUCUUCUCUCUUUCCUCCAAUACCAGAAUAUCAAGAUCUUCAUGGAUCGUGAAAUCAGAAGCAUGAGAUAAACGGCUGAGAUUUGAAGUAGACCAGUUGAGACUAAGAGUAAGUGAGCCAGUAAACAUAGACCAAAAAGCUAGCAAAAGAAUUGCAGCCAAUACCCACAAUUUGUAUUUACCUUUACCAAAAACCCCACUAAAUCCUUGAUCUUUUUUUACAGUUGAUGUUGCUGCUGCUGCUGCUGGUGUUGCUACUGCUGAAACUGAAGAAACUGUUGUUACUGUAUUUGUACUAAUUCUUGAUUGAGCUUCUUCAUCUUUCAUUUCUUGGUAUAUUCUCAUGAUUUUUCUUUCACCCAAUUCAGAAAAGAUUAGAUCUUUAUAAGCAAAACUGAGAGUAAGAAUUUUUUUGAUUUUUUAUUUUUGAAGAAUCAAG